GCUAUUGUCAGACAUUUAGUAAAGCUGGUCUGGCCAUUUUAACUGGGACUUUCUGCAAGUUUUGGGACACAUGCUCCCUUGCAGUAUCUCAAUACUUCUGUCCCAGCAAACAGCGAACCCUUGCCUGCACUGACGUGCGCAGGUGGUGGAAACUCUCCACUCCGAUCAUUAGAUUAGUCUCAAGGUUUAAGAAAUGAGUUUGAAUUUGGUGGAGCUCCAGAAUGCCUGAAACCCUGCCCUUGUUUGUGAGCAGUGCUCUGACUAGCUGUCUGCUGUAUGAAAGGCAAGGUGUCUACAGCUUCGGCCACCCCUUUUGUGUGCUCUGGGCAGAUCCUUGGAAGAGUGAGAGUAGGUACUUCUGGCAGGAAAAAUUAUAGCUGGAGAGCAGAAGCAAAGAGGAGAAACUUCUGAGCACUUCCUUGUCUUCAUUUUCUCUUGCUUUCCACCACCCAGUUGCUUCCCACUAUUUCCAUAAGUGUGAUGCUCUGCCUUCUGAGGCAGCACGGUGCACCGAUUCUGCACCCUUAAGGAAAGUGCUGCAAUCCUUCUCCAAGGACCCUGUGCCUACAGCUUUUAGCUUCUUGCAUCUUGAGAGCCAAAUUUAACAAGAAUAAUUUUACUUUGUGGGGCUAAGGGGCUUUUCAGAGAGAAGAGUCCAUCAACUGCUUAAAUUCAGUUUUCCUGGCAGAAGACCUCCAUUGCAUAUGAGAAGACCUCUAAUCCUGGUCCUUAGUGGACUAAGGGUUAGGGUAAGGCCUGACCUACGACAGCGGUGUGGACCACUACUGUAUCACCAGCUGGGAAGGAGUCUGCCCACUUUAAAAAUCACGCUUUGCUGUGGAGAGCAGAGCAAGAACGAACAGGGCAAACGCCAGGCAGCUACUAGCAAGCCUUCUGACUUGCAAAUGGAAUGGCUCAUUACAAACACUGGGAGAUUAAUAUUAAAGAUAAUCCUCUGAGCAUGGAAAAGAAUCCCAUGUAGCCUCAGGAGAUGGACAGCUAAAUCCUUGGAGCCAGUAUACACAGUUAUGCCAUCCAACCUCUGGGACACAGACCUUGUUUUUGAAAGCAGCAUGCUCUAGAGGAGAAAACAAAUGGAAAAACAAUAACAUCUUGCUUUCCUAACCCAGAAAAGGAGCCUUGAAUGUUCAUGAAACCAACCUUUUAUUGCAAAGGAAACAGAAGCUGAGAUUUUUCUGCCUCUCAUAAAUCUCAGACUAACAUGAUUAAAAAUAUCUUAGCUUUCUGAAACUGUGUGAAUUAGUGAAGGGACAGUGUGCAUUUCUAUUCAUCUCUUCUCUGUUUAUAUUUAAAUACUCUCAAAAAUACUGUUAGAAUUAGUCUUUUUUUUUCCCCCCAGAAGUACUAGCCAACAAGAGGCAGUGUUUUACACAUCACAUGAAGUAAGUUAACAUCUACAUCAUAAAACACAAAGUUAGUGCCUGUAGACCACAAGCAUUCCAAAUUCAUUACUUCUAAUUGAACUGCUUGUUACUUAUUUUAAUCUGAUAUCUACUCUAGAAGGAAAAUAGUCAUGUUGAAACUAAUUAAAGCUUUUUUCUUCUUCUUUUUUUGUCUUAUAUGAGUUUUACAUUAGUGGUGGCAAUAAUGUUUUGCUCAAAAGUAGGUCCAUUAUUUCUGGUUUUCCUAGGGGAGAGAGAAAUAAAGACACAUGCUUAAUUCCUUGUAAUGCAGAGAGAGGUUCUGUGUUGUGAAUAGUUCAGCAUUUUAUGAAUUGUCUUAAAUAAAUAAAUGAGAUUUUAAACAAAUAAUACUUCUUGGAUUCGGGAGGGAGGAUUUGCAAGUGAGAUGUUUGCACAUCUACACUCUUAUAGAAAGAAUCCAAAGAGCGGGAAAGCAGGGGGGAUGUUUAUUCCCCUUAAGUAUGAAGAAGAAAAGUGUCUUCCUGGUAAGACCCAUUCUAGGCCAAAACUGAAAACACAGAAAACAAAUCAGUGACAGUGGGUGUCAUUGUCUUAACUUGAUUAUUAGCAGCUGCAGGAUUUCGCCUGGGGUGGCUGUUGUCAUUUGCACUGGCAGGGUACAGUCAGCAGUGACUGCUCUACUGCUUCUCAAGUCAGAUGCUGAUUCAGUGGCUCCCAGACAAUGUUUCUUAACAUCAGAUUUCACUGGAUAGAAUUUCUAGUUUUUAUUUACAGACAUGCAUGCAAAUCUGCCCUCAACUAGCUGCCUUGUGCUGCGAACAAAAAUUUUAUUUUUGGUUGGCAGGUGGAUGAACCGAAUCUCCAGCUCUCCCGUAAAAACCAGGAAUACAACACUGUUCGGGUCGGUGUGAGACUGGGGUGUGUGCAAUCCCAGCAAAGACAGCGGGAUGCAGCAACUGACACACCAGCUUUAGAAAGCCUGUACUUGGUGGUGGCUGACUGUUCAUGCUGCUCUGUGAGCUUGCGCUCAGCCGCCUGCCUGCAUCCUGUGCACUGGGUACCCUUGGUCUCAGACAUGACACCUGGCAGCUGUCCCUCCUGCUCAGCUCAGAAGGCACUCAUGGGCAGAGGUGCCACCAGCAAUGCAGAUGCAGAUGCCGGACCCAGCGCACUCACAGCCCUUGAGCUGUAGCCCACGGGCUUCUUCGUGCUCUUGCCUGCUACCCCCUGUGGUGUCUCAGCAUUAAUGAAUGCACUUCAUGCUUACCUGCCCUUCGCUUUCCACUACAGAGAUCAGGGUGUAUCUGAAACUAUUGCUUUUAUUUCUGGUGAGGACUUAAUUAACGUGAUGCUCGCCAUCCACUCCCCACAUGCACUAGACACACAGACAGAGCACAAGUGCCCCUCCGGGAGGUAUUUGCAUACAGCAGAGACAAAAUAGAUUUGGCUUCUGUCACCUCCUUUGCCCAGAGUCUCACUUCCCCCUUCUCCUGUUGCCACAGUGACAGCCCUGGGGGAUGCCCAGAUGAUGACUUGGAACUUCUGCCACUCCCAGUCCUUGGGAAUGUGUUAUCUUUGUGCUUAUCUUUGCUCUAGAAUCAUGCUGUAGGGAUGGUCUUCUUCAAGAGGACUGUUGCUGGCAUCCAGAUUGCAGGUCUAGGUGGGACAGAGAUAAAACAUUGCCAUGCCCACACUUCUAGUGUCUUGAGGGUGGAGAUCCUGAAGAAGAACCGGUUGCAUCUGAUCAAACCCAGCUUUACAGCUUCUGUUUAUGCAGUCUCAUGGAUCAUGCAAGUUCCAGCUACGUCUGGAAGAAAAGCGGUUCAUUGUUUGGACCCUCAGGACAUGCCUAUGACUAUCACGUUAGGAAAGAGCUUUGGAAACUGUUCUGGCACAAGGUGAGAAAGGGAGAGGACAUGGCAAGUUCUAGGUCUGGGCUCCUGAGGCCCAACAGAUAAGGAGAGAGAACAGGGCAGCUUGCUGGUGUCCUGGGAUCUUUCCAGGUCUUAGCUUUAGCCCAUACCAAGGAGCCCUCGGUGAAUUGCACAACCUAGAUCACCUGGGUCCACGGCAGCCCAGGAUCAGCAAAAUCUGAUCUGGCUUCCUUGCAAGCAGGACCUGCAGAGCACAUGGAUGUGAAGCUGCCAUACCUUUGCUCAGCCAGGUUACAUACACAAUAAAGGUGGCCUACAGCCUUGUGAUACAAUGCUCAUCCCUGACUGUUCAGUUAAUUUGUCUCUGAGGCCAUAAAGAUAGCUCUGUUUGAUUCUCAGAGGUUGUUUCAUGCUUGUUUUUGUUUCUGGAUUAAACUUUAACUGGUUUCCAGGGAUGCUGCGAGGGCUGGAGAGAGCCACGCUUCUAGCUGUGUUUCAGGCUUUCAAAUUUGGGGCAGAAAAUCUGCCCACGACCACAUGGAUUCCUUCUUCACUUUACUCUCUUUCUUCAGUUUUUUACAGGACAGCCCAGGAGGGUUGCCCCCAUGUAACAGCGCUUUCUUUUCACUGCUCACCUGCUUUUUGCUGAGCUGAAGGGAGCUUUGGCUGCCAGACAGAUAACUGCACCAUUGUUGAAGCAAGCACUGAACACUGCUGCAUUUCAUCCUAUAAAUCUGUACUCCAGGAAUUCAGCAGUCCUCUGAGACAGCCUUUCCCUGCCUCCUGUGGCCAAGCUUCCACAAAACGGAGCACAUCUAUCACCUGAUCCCGCUGUGGAGAGGCUGCUGGUGAGGGAUUUGCUCUCUGAAGCAUCCCCUGGCCUCUGCUACUUCCAGGGAAAAGCUGUCAAGAUAAUGCCUGCUGUGAUCAGAGCCCUGCCAGCCAUUUACCAUUAUAGGAGGUUGGGUCUGUGCAGCAUUAGGUGAACCAAAACAGCAGCCUGCAACAAUGUGGGCUUAAGCUUCAUGGUGACAUGAAAUUUUGCAGAAAGCUGCGUCUGGGAGCGUGGUGCCGUGUCUGUCUGUUGGCAGGGUGGAAGCCAAAAAAGAAACGGCAGCAGGCUGGUGUCCUGUGAGGCAAAGCUGUGUCAUCUGUGUGCAAAAUGCAGUAGCAUGUUGGCUAGCACAGUGGUAUCUGAUUGCAUUUUGAAUUGCACCUCCUAGGAGACAGAGAAGCUGGUAGUUUGCAUGGGCAACUUCUUGACACUGAGGGUAUGAUUUUGUAUAGAGAGUUAAUACUUUUCCUGAGGAAGGAGGUGGGGAGAUGGGGAAAGUCCUUACAAAAUUUUUUGCUGUUGCUGUUCUUAAAGCCUGAGAAAACAACUUGUUUUUUUUCUGAAAAGUGUGAAUUUGUUGAAAUAGUCAUUACCUUGUCACUUCCCAGUGAGCUGGGAUGGCACAAUUGCUCCAUUGCUUCUUUGCAUCAACUGCCUAAUUGGUUUCUAUUGUGAUAUACAUCACUUAUAUACAGCCUUCAUACGACCCCCAAAAUAGGUUUCUGUAUUUAAAUACAUACUGCCAUGCUGGCUUGCACUAUGCUAUAGGCAGGCAGGAAUUCAGCAGGCAGAGCAAUUGUUCACAGGUCUUUUGGGGUGGGGUUUUUUUGUGUUCAGAGAAGCCUCCAGUCCCAUUGCUUAGCAGAUAGCAACGCUGAGUCACACACAGCUUUUGUCCACACACCAGCAUCAUUGCUGCAUACCAGCCUGGCACUUUGGCCAAUCAGUUCUUCUUCUGUAUCCUUUUUACUGGGCAAUGACAUCAAAUCAAAACUUUUUUUCUGUGCAAAGGCAGGACCUUGUCCUUCUGCAUCUUCCUGUAUUUUCUACAUUUCCAUUUUCCCACACAUCAAGGGAGGUUUCAUUUCACAAUUUCUACUCCAGAACAGCCUUCAGUGACAGACACCCAGUCUUCAGUGGGUAGACACUGCCAUGAUGGAGAUCAGCACAAAUGAAACCUUACAGGGUUUAGUCAUGAGUAUGGGUUUUAAAUUGGAAGAUGAACUUUCAGACCAAUAUAUCUCUUCAUUUUUCACCGCAAAUAGGACUGUGCCACAGAAUCAUAAACUGCUGUAGGGGCUUAAGGUUAAUUAAUGGAUAACAGGUCUUGUAUCAAAUUCGAACCCUGAUAUACAUGUUCAUGCUUUGAUUUAGGGCUAGAUUUUGCUAUUGAAUCCCACACUUCAACAGAAAUAGCACUUGAAAAUCCAGCGUUCAAAUGCGGUUUUCUUCAACCAGCUUUUUGAAACAAGCCCCAAUUCCCUUUUAACUUCUUAAUAAAUAAGACUAAAAGGUAACAAUUUUCUUUCAGAAACACAAAACAGCAGGAGUUAAUUUUAUUCUCAGUUAUUAUGGUGUUCUGCUGAAAUAACAGUGAAGCGGUGCUGUACUUUUCCCAGCUUGGAGAGUAAGAUCUGUCCCCAGGAGCUUAGAAAAUGCCUACUUUUUCCAAACUGCUAAAACUGUCGGUGUGGUGGGUUGUCUUCUUUUUUUUUUUGGUUUUUUGUUUUUGUGAGCGUAGGGGAGGAGAUCAGGGAAUAAAAGAAUGGAUUAAUCCAGAGCAGCCCAUGGACAAUACGCACUAACCAAACCUGUUUAGCUUUUA
Molecule: long non-coding RNA, 5919 nt
Organism: Falco peregrinus (peregrine falcon)
Lineage: Eukaryota; Metazoa; Chordata; Aves; Falconiformes; Falconidae
Exons: 3
Source: RefSeq, a predicted model, not a curated record